RNAcentral lists this ribosomal RNA (437 nucleotides) under uncultured bacterium. RNAcentral describes it as "bacterial SSU rRNA". It matches the Rfam family "Bacterial small subunit ribosomal RNA", at positions 340 to 769 of the family's 1533-position model. The record is from RNAcentral.
UACGGAAGGCAGCAGUGGGGAAUAUUGCACAAUGGGCGAAAGCCUGAUGCAGCUAUGCCGCGUGUAUGAAGAAGGCCUUAGGGUUGUAAAGUACUUUCAUCGGGGAGGAAAAACAAAACUAAUAAUUUUAUUUCUUGACGUUACCCGAAAAAGAAGCACCGGCUAACUCCGUGCCAGCAGCCGCGGUAAUACGGAGGGUGCUAGCGUUAAUCAGAAUUACUGGGCGUAAAGAGCACGUAGGUGGUUUUUUAAGUUCAGAUGUGAAAUCCCUGGGCUUAACCUAGGAACUGCAUUUUGAAACUGAAAUACUAGAGUAUCGUAGAGGGAGGUAGAAUUCUAGGUGUAGCGGUGAAAUGCGUAGAUAUCUGGAGGAAUACCUGUGGCGAAAGCGGCCUCCUAAACGAAUACUGACACUGAGGUGCGAAAGCGUGGGGAGC